GAGCACCAAUAGCUUCAAAACACCU
This 25-nucleotide non-coding RNA is filed under the name Arabidopsis thaliana (thale cress). The record is from RNAcentral. Lineage: Eukaryota; Viridiplantae; Streptophyta; Magnoliopsida; Brassicales; Brassicaceae.